This 406-nucleotide ribosomal RNA is filed under the name uncultured bacterium. Its description in RNAcentral is "partial 16S ribosomal RNA". It matches the Rfam family "Bacterial small subunit ribosomal RNA", at positions 30 to 527 of the family's 1533-position model. The record is from RNAcentral.
AUUGAACGCUGGCGGCAGGCCUAACACAUGCAAGUCGAACGAGUGGCGGACGGGUGAGUAAUGUCUGGGAAACUGCCCGAUGGAGGGGGAUAACUACUGGAAACGGUAGCUAAUCCCGCCUACCAUCGGAUGUGCCCAGGUGGGAUUAGCUAGUAGGUGGGGUAACGGCUCACCUAGUCGACGAUCCCUAGCUGGUCUGAGAGUAUGACAAGCCAAACGGGAGCAGAGACACUGUCCAGAGUCCUACGGUGGGCAGCAGUGGGGAAUAUUGCAGAAGGGGCGCAAGCCGGAUGCAGCCAUGCCGCGUGUAUGAAGAAGGCCUUCGGGUUGUAAAGUACUUUCAGCGAGGAGGCGUUACUCGCAGAAGAAGCACCGGCUAACUCCGUGCCAGCAGCCGCGGUAAUUG